CAAAACAGCAAGAGUUCCUAACAUGGCUGACUGACAAAAUCUCUUUAUGUCUGUUCAGAGCGGCCUACAGUUUCUCCUACAAGUGCUCUUUUUUGUUGUUAUGGAGAGAUGCUUCUUGUCUCAGACUACAUGUGUCUGUAAUUGCAUUCCACGGUAUUGAGAGCAUUGGGCACAAAGGAAAAGGGAGUGAGGAAGAGGCUGGAUGGAUGCUGUUGGGAGCCAACCCACCAGACUACCACGACCAGGUUGGGCUCAUAUGAAGCUAUUCCAGACACAUUAAGAUGCAGAAAUCUACUCCAGCUAACUUUAGGCAUAAUGAGGUCUGAGAAAUUAUCAUCUUUCUCUGACAAAAUGAAGUCUUUCAUUGCCGUCAUUGUAAGUCAGCAUCAUAGCCUCACCUUUCAAGAAAUUUUCAUUUGUCAUCCUGUUCUAACUCAACAGUUAAAAAACAUCUCUGAAAGCACUUCCACCUGCAGGCGUGCCCCUCUAAUUGUCUGCGACAAGUUAAAGAGCAAGCUGUAAAAAAGGGAUGAACAGGAAAAUAUGA
Passer domesticus (house sparrow) is the source of this 547-nucleotide long non-coding RNA. RefSeq lists it as uncharacterized. NCBI's taxonomy places the organism in Eukaryota, Metazoa, Chordata, Aves, Passeriformes, Passeridae. The transcript is spliced from 6 exons. The record is from RefSeq and is a predicted model, not a curated record.